Molecule: ribosomal RNA, 867 nt
Filed under: Rhodococcus sp. MF12_Oo
Lineage: Bacteria; Bacillati; Actinomycetota; Actinomycetes; Mycobacteriales; Nocardiaceae
Description: bacterial SSU rRNA
Rfam family: Bacterial small subunit ribosomal RNA
Source: RNAcentral
CUAGAAANNUUUUUUNCNCGCUCAGGACGAACGCUGGCGGCGUGCUUAACACAUGCAAGUCGAGCGGUAAGGCCUUUCGGGGUACACGAGCGGCGAACGGGUGAGUAACACGUGGGUGAUCUGCCCUGCACUUCGGGAUAAGCCUGGGAAACUGGGUCUAAUACCGGAUAUGACCUCAGGUUGCAUGACUUGGGGUGGAAAGAUUUAUCGGUGCAGGAUGGGCCCGCGGCCUAUCAGCUUGUUGGUGGGGUAAUGGCCUACCAAGGCGACGACGGGUAGCCGACCUGAGAGGGUGACCGGCCACACUGGGACUGAGACACGGCCCAGACUCCUACGGGAGGCAGCAGUGGGGAAUAUUGCACAAUGGGCGAAAGCCUGAUGCAGCGACGCCGCGUGAGGGAUGACGGCCUUCGGGUUGUAAACCUCUUUCAGCAGGGACGAAGCGCAAGUGACGGUACCUGCAGAAGAAGCACCGGCUAACUACGUGCCAGCAGCCGCGGUAAUACGUAGGGUGCAAGCGUUGUCCGGAAUUACUGGGCGUAAAGAGUUCGUAGGCGGUUUGUCGCGUCGUUUGUGAAAACCAGCAGCUCAACUGCUGGCUUGCAGGCGAUACGGGCAGACUUGAGUACUGCAGGGGAGACUGGAAUUCCUGGUGUAGCGGUGAAAUGCGCAGAUAUCAGGAGGAACACCGGUGGCGAAGGCGGGUCUCUGGGCAGUAACUGACGCUGAGGAACGAAAGCGUGGGUAGCGAACAGGAUUAGAUACCCUGGUAGUCCACGCCGUAAACGGUGGGCGCUAGGUGUGGGUUCCUUCCACGGAAUCCGUGCCGUAGCUAACGCAUUAAGCGCCCCGCCUGGANNCNCNNNU